AAUCUGCCCUUGGGUUCGGAAUAACUUCGGGAAACUGAAGCUAAUACUGGAUGAUGACGUAAGUCCAAAGAUUUAUCGCCCAAGGAUGAGCCCGCGUAGGAUUAGCUAGUUGGUGAGGUAAAGGCUCACCAAGGCGACGAUCCUUAGCUGGUCUGAGAGGAUGAUUAGCCACACUGGGACUGAGACACGGCCCAGACUCCUACGGGAGGCAGCAGUGGGGAAUAUUGGACAAUGGGCGAAAGCCUGAUCCAGCAAUGCCGCGUGAGUGAUGAAGGCCUUAGGGUUGUAAAGCUCUUUUACCCGGGAUGAUAAUGACAGUACCGGGAGAAUAAGCUCCGGCUAACUCCGUGCCAGCAGCCGCGGUAAUACGGAGGGAGCUAGCGUUGUUCGGAAUUACUGGGCGUAAAGCGCACGUAGGCGGCUUUGUAAGUUAGAGGUGAAAGCCUGGAGCCCAACUCCAGAAUCGCCUUUGAUACUGCAUCGCUUGAAUCCAGGAGAGGUGAGUGGAAUUCCGAGUGUAGAGGUGAAAUUCGUAGAUAUUCGGAAGAACACCAGUGGCGAAGGCGGCUCACUGGACUGGUAUU
RNAcentral lists this ribosomal RNA (584 nucleotides) under uncultured bacterium. Its description in RNAcentral is "bacterial SSU rRNA". It matches the Rfam family "Bacterial small subunit ribosomal RNA", at positions 123 to 741 of the family's 1533-position model. The record is from RNAcentral.